This 500-nucleotide ribosomal RNA is filed under the name uncultured Gammaproteobacteria bacterium. RNAcentral's name for it is "bacterial SSU rRNA". It matches the Rfam family "Bacterial small subunit ribosomal RNA", at positions 38 to 529 of the family's 1533-position model. The record is from RNAcentral. Lineage: Bacteria; Pseudomonadati; Pseudomonadota; Gammaproteobacteria.
GGCGGCACGCCUAACACAUGCAAGUCGAGCGGUAGCAUGACUGGUAGCAAUACUAGUUGAUGACGAGCGGCGGACGGGUGAGGAACACGUAGGAACCUGCCCUCAAGCGGGGGAUAACCAAGGGAAACUUUGGCUAAUACCGCAUAAUCUCGGGAGAGAAAAGCUGCCAGCAAUGGUGGCACUUGAGGAGGGGCCUGCGUCCGAUUAGCUAGUUGGCAGGGUAAAAGCCUACCAAGGCGAUGAUCGGUAACUGGUCUGAGAGGACGACCAGUCACACUGGGACUGAGACACGGCCCAGACUCCUACGGGAGGCAGCAGUGGGGAAUAUUGGACAAUGGGGGCAACCCUGAUCCAGCGAUGCCGCGUGAGUGAAGAAGGCCUUCGGGUCGUAAAGCUCUUUAGGUUGGGAAGAAGGAAAUGAGGUUAAUACCCUUGUUUUUUGACGGUACCGACAGAAUAAGCACCGGCAAACUCUGUGCCAGCAGCCGCGGUAAUACAGA